GGAUCAUUACCGAGUGCGGGUCCUUUGGGCCCAACCUCCCAUCCGUGUCUAUUAUACCCUGUUGCUUCGGCGGGCCCGCCGCUUGUCGGCCGCCGGGGGGGCGCCUUUGCCCCCCGGGCCCGUGCCCGCCGGAGACCCCAACACGAACACUGUCUGAAAGCGUGCAGUCUGAGUUGAUUGAAUGCAAUCAGUUAAAACUUUCAACAAUGGAUCUCUUGGUUCCGGCAUCGAUGAAGAACGCAGCGAAAUGCGAUAACUAAUGUGAAUUGCAGAAUUCAGUGAAUCAUCGAGUCUUUGAACGCACAUUGCGCCCCCUGGUAUUCCGGGGGGCAUGCCUGUCCGAGCGUCAUUGCUGCCCUCAAGCCCGGCUUGUGUGUUGGGUCGCCGUCCCCCUCUCCGGGGGGACGGGCCCGAAAGGCAGCGGCGGCACCGCGUCCGAUCCUCGAGCGUAUGGGGCUUUGUCACAUGCUCUGUAGGAUUGGCCGGCGCCUGCCGACGUUUUCCAACCAUUUUUUCCAGGUUGACCUCGGAUCAGGUAGGGAUACCCGCUGAACUUAAGCAUAUCAAUAAGCGGAGGAAAAGAAACCAACCGGGAUUGCCUCAGUAACGGCGAGUGAAGCGGCAAGAGCUCAAAUUUGAAAGCUGGCUCCUUCGGAGUCCGCAUUGUAAUUUGCAGAGGAUGCUUUGGGUGCGGCCCCCGUCUAAGUGCCCUGGAACGGGCCGUCA
Molecule: ribosomal RNA, 726 nt
Filed under: fungal sp.
Lineage: Eukaryota; Fungi
Description: eukaryotic LSU rRNA
Rfam family: 5.8S ribosomal RNA (bases 196-349)
Source: RNAcentral